RNAcentral lists this ribosomal RNA (433 nucleotides) under uncultured bacterium. Its description in RNAcentral is "partial 16S ribosomal RNA". It matches the Rfam family "Bacterial small subunit ribosomal RNA", at positions 29 to 507 of the family's 1533-position model. The record is from RNAcentral.
AACGAACGCUGGCGGCAGGCCUAACACAUGCAAGUCGAGCGAGGACUUCGGUUCUAGCGGCGGACGGGUGAGUAACGCGUGGGAAUGUGCCCUUCUCUACGGAAUAGCCCUGGGAAACUGGGAGUAAUACCGUAUACGCCCUAUUGGGGAAAGAUUUAUCGGAGAAGGAUCAGCCCGCGUUGGAUUAGGUAGUUGGUGGGGUAAUGGCCUACCAAGCCGACGAUCCAUAGCUGGUUUGAGAGGAUGAGCAGCCACGCUGGGACUGAGACACGGCCCAGACUCCUACGGGAGGCAGCAGUGGGGAAUCUUAGACAAUGGGGGCAACCCUGAUCGAGCCAUGCCGCGUGAGUGAUGAAGGCCUUAGGGUUGUAAAGCUCUUUCAGCUGGGAAGAUAAUGACGGUACCAGCAGAAGAAGCCCCGGCUAACUCCGUG